This 234-nucleotide ribosomal RNA is filed under the name uncultured Lactobacillus sp. Its description in RNAcentral is "partial 16S ribosomal RNA". It matches the Rfam family "Bacterial small subunit ribosomal RNA", at positions 129 to 354 of the family's 1533-position model. The record is from RNAcentral. Lineage: Bacteria; Bacillati; Bacillota; Bacilli; Lactobacillales; Lactobacillaceae.
CCCAACGAGAUCGGGAUAACACCUGGAAACAGAUGCUAAUACCGGAUAACAACAGAUGAUGCCUAUCAACUGUUUAAAAGAUGGUUCUGCUAUCACUCUUGGAUGGACCUGCGGUGCAUUAGCUAGUUGGUAGGGUAACGGCCUGCCAAGGCGAUGAUGCAUAGCCGAGUUGAGAGACUGAUCGGCCACAUUGGGACUGAGACACGGCCCAAACUCCUACGGGAGGCAGCAGGC